This 459-nucleotide ribosomal RNA is filed under the name uncultured bacterium. Its description in RNAcentral is "bacterial SSU rRNA". It matches the Rfam family "Bacterial small subunit ribosomal RNA", at positions 9 to 446 of the family's 1533-position model. The record is from RNAcentral.
GAGUUUAUCCUGGCUCAGGACGAACGCUGGCGGCGUGCCUAAUACAUGCAAGUCGAACGCUUUUUUCAAUCAUCGUAGCUUGCUACACCGAUUGAAAAUUGAGUGGCGAACGGGUGAGUAACACGUGGGUAACCUGCCCAAAAGAGGGGGAUAACACUUGGAAACAGGUGCUAAUACCGCAUAACCAUGAUGACCGCAUGGUCAUUAUGUAAAAGAUGGUUUCGACUAUCACUUUUGGAUGGACCCGCGGCGUAUUAACUUGUUGGUGGGUAACGGCCUACCAAGGUAAUGAUACGUAGCCGAACUGAGAGGUUGAUCGGCCACAUUGGGACUGAGACACGGCCCAAACUCCUACGGGAGGCAGCAGUAGGGAAUCUUCCACAAUGGGCGCAAGCCUGAUGGAGCAACGCCGCGUGAGCGAAGAAGUAUUUCGGUAUGUAAAGCUCUAUCAGCAGGGAA